GUGCUUGUUUCAGUAGCACAUAUACUGAAAUUGAAAUGAUACAGAGAUUAGCACGGCCCCCGGGCAAGGAUGACAUGCAAAUUCAUGAUGUACUCCAUAUUUUU
Small nuclear RNA from Gorilla gorilla gorilla (western lowland gorilla), 104 nucleotides. NCBI's taxonomy places the organism in Eukaryota, Metazoa, Chordata, Mammalia, Primates, Hominidae. The record is from Ensembl.